Vigna unguiculata (cowpea) is the source of this 197-nucleotide long non-coding RNA. RefSeq lists it as uncharacterized. NCBI's taxonomy places the organism in Eukaryota, Viridiplantae, Streptophyta, Magnoliopsida, Fabales, Fabaceae. The record is from RefSeq and is a predicted model, not a curated record.
UUUCAGAACCAGCCGCCGUAGCCGCACUCUCCCCGUUAGGGUUCCACCGUGUUGAUAGUCCGCCUCCCGUUUGGCCAUUCCUAGCUCACCUUCGAGUUCGCUCCUAGAAGCAGUUCGUCCUCCACAGUUUGGGUGUCGAGGUUUUCAGCUAGCUUGUCCAGUUGGGCGAGGUUCUCAUGGUCAACAAGCGAAUGGUG